UUGAACAGGUUGAUACAUCUAGGAGUGAAAUACAUCACCGCUUUCCCUGCUCCCGCCGCCAUUAAAAUUGUGUUUGGCAUCUGACCACCAAGAUACAGAUAUUUCCUAGACUGUUUUGCAGCUAGGUACUUAGCAUUUCUCUUUCCUCUGGAGAAAAAUAUCUGCUUUCUUUAAAAUAAAUGUUCCAUCCAUGCAGCUAAGCAGCUAAGGACACGAACAGCCACUGAUACAGGCCAACUCAUCAGUAGAUUAUUGAGGAAUCAUUCUCUUCAGUCAGAUCACGAUUUGAGUUUGAACUAACCAGAGAGUAGCAGAAGGAACGUUUUCUCAUUUCCAUGUCCAGAAAGAUAUAUUCCUGCUACCCUCCUGAAGUCAGAGGAUGAAAUCAUAGUCAAUACAUCUUUGCAGAUAAACUAUUAGAUUUCAUACUAGGACCUUUCAUUGGCUGAACAAAGACAAAGACAGAAAUCAAGGAAGGUCAAAGAAGCAGUCAGUUUUCUGGCACCCAAAGUUGUUGGAGAAGGGUACAGAGUCGGUAAAUAAGUCAUAUGACAGACAGGCAGUAUUUUCUUAUUUUAAUAACAAGUUUAAAAAUCCCACUUCUUGUACUUACCUUCUGUCUGACGUCAUCAGUAUUUUAAAAUGCCAACUGGGAUCAAGUUCAACACUGCAUUACUGAAGAAUCCAGAUUAUCUACAUUUCAAGUGCCAAAUGAAAGAAAGAACCCAGAAAAUAAAAC
This 739-nucleotide long non-coding RNA is filed under the name Homo sapiens (human). Its description in RNAcentral is "HSALNT0008900". Lineage: Eukaryota; Metazoa; Chordata; Mammalia; Primates; Hominidae. The record is from RNAcentral.